GAUGAACGCUGGCGGCGUGCCUAAUACAUGCAAGUCGAGCGAACAGACGAGGAACUUGCUCCUCUGACGUUAGCGGCGGACGGGGGAGUAACACGUGGAUAACCUACCUAUAAGACUGGGAUAAAUUCGGGAAACCGGAGCUAAUACCGGCUAAAAUAUUGAACCGCAUGGUUCAAUAGUGAAAGACGGUUUUGCUGUCGCUUAUAGCUGGAUCCGCGCCGCAUUAGCUAGUUGGUAAGGUAACGGCUUACCAAGGCAACGAUGCGUAGCCGACCUGAGAGGGUGAUCGGCCACACUGGAACUGAGACACGGUCCAGACUCCUACGGGAGGCAGCAGUAGGGAAUCUUCCGCAAUGGGCGAAAGCCUGACGGAGCAACGCCGCGUGAGUGAUGAAGGUCUUCGGAUCGUAAAACUCUGUUAUUAGGGAAGAACAAAUGUGUAAGUAACUAUGCACGUCUUGACGGUACCUAAUCAGAAAGCCACGGCUAACUACGUG
RNAcentral lists this ribosomal RNA (497 nucleotides) under uncultured bacterium. RNAcentral's name for it is "partial 16S ribosomal RNA". It matches the Rfam family "Bacterial small subunit ribosomal RNA", at positions 28 to 507 of the family's 1533-position model. The record is from RNAcentral.